UCGGGAAUAUUGCGCAAUGGAGGAAACUCUGACGCAGUGACGCCGCGUAUAGGAAGAAGGUUUUCGGAUUGUAAACUAUUGUCGUUAGGGAAGAUACAAGACAGUACCUAAGGAGGAAGCCCCGGCUAACUAUGUGCCAGCAGCCGCGGUAAUACAUAGGGGGCAAGCGUUAUCCGGAUUUAUUGGGUGUAAAGGGUGCGUAGAUGGAGGAGCAAGUUGGUUGUGAAAUCCCUCGGCUCAACUGAGGAACUGCAACCAAAACUACUUCCCUUGAGUGUCGGAGAGGAAAGUGGAAUUCCUAGUGUAGCGGUGAAAUGCGUAGAUAUUAGGAGGAACACCAGUGGCGAAGGCGACUUUCUGGACGAUAACUGACAUUGAGGCACGAAAGUGUGGGGUAGCAAACAGGAUUAGAUACCC
RNAcentral lists this ribosomal RNA (417 nucleotides) under uncultured bacterium. RNAcentral's name for it is "bacterial SSU rRNA". It matches the Rfam family "Bacterial small subunit ribosomal RNA", at positions 355 to 787 of the family's 1533-position model. The record is from RNAcentral.